RNAcentral lists this unclassified non-coding RNA (222 nucleotides) under uncultured fungus. RNAcentral describes it as "sequence contains ITS1". The record is from RNAcentral. Lineage: Eukaryota; Fungi.
GUAUUGAUUGCGUGUGACCGCAAAAAUAACAUUCUACACUGUAUCAAGUUUUAUGUGAAAACGCAAGCCCUCCUGCAAAGGGGGGCCCACGCGGUGAUGCACAAAAGGGGUGAGAUGGAUUGUGUGAGAGUGCUCGGGCGUGCACAACCUUUAAAAGGUCAGCGACAGCCCUUGCACCUCGGUUAUACAAUAAUGAUCCUUCCGCAGGUUCACCUACGGAAA